This 33577-nucleotide long non-coding RNA is filed under the name Musa acuminata (dwarf banana). Its description in RNAcentral is "long non-coding RNA (MACU_LNC007409)". Lineage: Eukaryota; Viridiplantae; Streptophyta; Magnoliopsida; Zingiberales; Musaceae. The record is from RNAcentral.
CCAAGAGAGUAGUCCGCUAUAGUUGAGUUUUUGAGUGUCUUUAUUAUUCUUAUCUUACGACCUUUCAUCUGGGUUUCCGAUCCUAGUUUGCUUACUCAUGCUUUUCCAUUGAACUCGACGACACUCUUGCUUUCAUAGGUUAGGACACCGCUUGCUUGGAGAUUCCAUGAUUCUCAGCUAGAGUUGUGGCCUCAAACAUGUCUUUUGUUAUAUAGAUAUCCACCCGCCCUGGAAUAGAAACUCCUGCAAACCACCCUCACACCUAUUUAUUAGUAUAGGCCAGCCCCAAAGCAAAGUGAAGGUUAGUUAGCACUACUGCUUUGCCAUCAUGUAGGUAUCAACCCGUUUUCCAGUAUAGGAGCACAACAGCACAGGAAAGACUGGAACAGUGAGUUUAACGUCUAGGAAAGGAGCACAGACGCAUAAGGCACCUAUUUCUCUGCUCUGCGGACUGUGUUAUAGUAAAGGUAAGCUUCAAUUGUUGAUACCGGCAGCUGAGGAUAACCAAUGUCUUGUUUUGGGGUAUGCUAAGUUAUGUUUAUACUCUAGUUUGCUAAAUGAGAUUGUUUUUGAAGCAGGACUCGAGUUAGUUGGGCACCAGAACUCAGUGAGGGUAACCGGAGCAGGGUUAGGUUUAGGAAGUGGUUAGUAUAUAACUCCUAUAACUCCUAAUUGAGUAUUGAAUACCUUGACUCUGGUGCCUGUAUUGUAUUAAACUAAUAAGGAAAUGCAGUAUCAAGUCAAUCAGCAACAAGCGCGGGAAGGAACGGGAAGUAGACUCAAGAAUCCGCAGUGCCAGUGAAGUCGAUGAGAUCAGUAGCUUGAUCGGAAUAAGGUAAAGAAUAAGGAUCAUCAUAAGGAGCAAUAAAGUCUAUCUACACAGGCGCAAGAGUCGGGUCAGCUAGAAGUGGUUAUGAACUGAGAGUCGAGUUUGGGGUCUAUUAGUAGCUCUCCGGUGACAAGUCUCUUUCUGUUCUUGUUGAAUACCUUGUGGAAUCCGUUUUCCUAUAUAAGAAGAGAGAGAAGAAGCUUUAGCCCUUGUAUAACACGCAAGAGAAAACUCCUUCUUCGCCCUACUAGUAAAGAAGAGAAUCNNNNNNNNNNNNNNNNNNNNNNNNNNNNNNNNNNNNNNNNNNNNNNNNNNNNNNNNNNNNNNNNNNNNNNNNNNNNNNNNNNNNNNNNNNNNNNNNNNNNNNNNNNNNNNNNNNNNNNNNNNNNNNNNNNNNNNNNNNNNNNNNNNNNNNNNNNNNNNNNNNNNNNNNNNNNNNNNNNNNNNNNNNNNNNNNNNNNNNNNNNNNNNNNNNNNNNNNNNNNNNNNNNNNNNNNNNNNNNNNNNNNNNNNNNNNNNNNNNNNNNNNNNNNNNNNNNNNNNNNNNNNNNNNNNNNNNNNNNNNNNNNNNNNNNNNNNNNNNNNNNNNNNNNNNNNNNNNNNNNNNNNNNNNNNNNNNNNNNNNNNNNNNNNNNNNNNNNNNNNNNNNNNNNNNNNNNNNNNNNNNNNNNNNNNNNNNNNNNNNNNNNNNNNNNNNNNNNNNNNNNNNNNNNNNNNNNNNNNNNNNNNNNNNNNNNNNNNNNNNNNNNNNNNNNNNNNNNNNNNNNNNNNNNNNNNNNNNNNNNNNNNNNNNNNNNNNNNNNNNNNNNNNNNNNNNNNNNNNNNNNNNNNNNNNNNNNNNNNNNNNNNNNNNNNNNNNNNNNNNNNNNNNNNNNNNNNNNNNNNNNNNNNNNNNNNNNNNNNNNNNNNNNNNNNNNNNNNNNNNNNNNNNNNNNNNNNNNNNNNNNNNNNNNNNNNNNNNNNNNNNNNNNNNNNNNNNNNNNNNNNNNNNNNNNNNNNNNNNNNNNNNNNNNNNNNNNNNNNNNNNNNNNNNNNNNNNNNNNNNNNNNNNNNNNNNNNNNNNNNNNNNNNNNNNNNNNNNNNNNNAUGCCUCUUCGUUGCUUUUAUUCAUGCCAUCUCUCUACCCUAUUCUUUGUCUUCCACAUCUCGUACCCCUCGGACGCUCUCUCUCUUCUUCUUUCUAGGGUGUGUUUGCAGUUGAUCCCUUUUUCCUGUGUUUUCGGUUCCCCUACAGCUUCUAUCUCAGCUCCCUAUAUGCUCUUUUACAUCCUCUUAAUCUCCCGUUAAUCCAGUUUUCCAUGCCCUCUCUGGAUCCUAUAGUAGUAGAAGUUGUUAUUGUCAAUUCAGUGGGCGAUCUAGCGAGUUUAGUCUAGGCUAGGUUCCUUGUGAGCGAGUAUCUAUAGGUUCCUUGUGAGCGAGUAAUAAUUCAUCUUGUCGUCUUAGCGUGUUCAAUUCUGUAUUUCUUUAUUUCGAGAAAGAUAAUCAGCAGAAGCAAGAUACGGUGAGUAAGCAUAAGAAUAAUAAGUGGAAAGAUCAGAUGCAGUUCGAAAGGAAGCUAUAAGCGAAGGAAGUGGGUCAGAACUUCAAGUGGAUUACGGUUCGGGUGGCGCUUACGCUGAGUAGAUAUGGUUUCAAGUGAAGUCUAUGAGAUAUUUUAUUGGCUUUCCCGAGUAGGAAUGAAUCUCUUGGGGCAGCAGACUUAACUCUUUCCCGCCGAGAAAGACCCUGCUCCAUCUGUUGCUGAAGAUCCCCAAAACAGGACUUGCUUGCUUUAGCAGCUUGGUUCUUUAGUUUUAUGGGAAAUAACCCUUGCCUGAUCGAGUGUUCUUUCGCCCUUGUGCUCACGCUUAUGGGAGUUUUGUUUUGAGUGAGCAGUAUACUAUAUACUAUAAAUGAGAUUAUGACUAUCUACUAGAAAUUCUAGAGUAGGUGAGUGAUAUCUUCUGAAAUUCCAUGAACAGAAUCAGGGGAGUCGGAAACUUACUUCAAUUCGAGAUAGAUAAGUGGCUCUGUAGCAUUCCUCUUAUUUCUAGGUGAAAAACGGGGGCAAGCAACGUUGUUAUUAGUAUACAAACAAAGGCAAAGAGAGGAGACAAGCCAAUACCGCCAGAAUAGGACAGAACUCAUAUAUGUUUAGUGACAGUUGUCACCGAGUCCAGUCCCGCAUUAUAAGAAAAAGCCGAUAUUGAUUAGUUAGUUCUUUUCCUCUACCUCGGACUCCCAUACCCAUGUACCCUCUUAUAAUACUUACUUUUCUUAUCAACCUCUCUGGAUCUUUCAACAUCCUCACACUGAACUCUCGCUUUCCAGGCAAGAAGAGUCAACUAACUGAUUCACAAAAUAUGGACUUGUUAAUGACUCGUAAUAACUACGUACUUUCGGAACCUAAAGAUAAGAGACAGUGCCAGGAAAGUCAACGUUAACUCUAUAAUAAGCGGUUCAAAAGUGUGCUUCUGUUCGACUCUUUUGCUUAAAACUAACUUAGGCUUACUCUGAGGGUGCUAAUCCUUAAUCUGUCUUUCUUUUGCUUCAAAGCUAACUAUCCCUGGAUUCUGAAACCUCCAACGACCCUUGCCUUGAUUAUGAAAACGAACAUAAGCGUUAGCGCCUAAGCUUGUUCCGUUGUUUGUUGAAUUUAUUCUUCUGCGGACCCUGAUUGAGUCUUGCUCCGGCUACUAGCUUGUUUCUGAAACAGGUUAUUAUAUUUCUUAUUAUCCCGCGCCUUUACUUGAUUCCUACCUUAAGCGCUCUGGUGGCCAUGAGAUUCGAGCUAUAUUAUCUGAGGCUUCUGGAUACUACUUAACAAGAACAGGAACUAGAUAUUCUUCGUCGGGAGCUAACACUGCUGAUUCUAUUUAUUCUGAUCUUACUGACACAAUCACCUCUCUCUCUGGUUGACUUUCGACAACACCUAUCCUUUCAAACUCAAUAUUGGAUUCGUUUCCGCACAGCAGAUUCUUUCUCUUUCGUCGGUAACACAGGAACUCUCCUCACCUUUCCGCUUGCAGCUGAUUCUCUUCUUGAUGAUCUUGAAACUUUCACUCUUGUUGUCGACAGUUUAGUCUUCAGCUACCCAAUGGAAUCUAUCUUCUCUCUCACGCAUGUCAUAUAAUCUAGUGGGAAUUGAAACAGCUUGCAGCUGACUUUGGCACUCCUUACUCUCCUCUUUGACUUUCUGGGGUAGGUUCAAAAACUCCAUUUUAUUAUUCCGACCUAGACAUUACUCGAACAGCAUUAGCUUCAGAGAGAAAACUGCUAAUCCUUCUUUCUGUUGCUUUAAGAAUAGAAACUACAGGAAUGAAAACGGUAAGUAGGGAAUUGCCCUAGAAACUUCCUAUCGCGCAAGGUGACCUUGACCCAGGAGCUGUACUUAAAGGGAUUCUACUCCUAAUGAAGGGGAUUCCACUACUAAUGAAGGGUAUUCCACAACAAAUGAGGGGAAGAUGGAACUUUCUCUGUCCUGUGAUGCCGAGGUAAGAAGGAGUCCCUGCCGCUCUAUCUCUUGUGCAUGAUAUUUCUUGUGCAUGAUAUAUAGAAUGUUGCAUAGAAUCCGCUCCGCUAGGACUUAUUUGUCGAUAGCCAUCACUGCCAGGCAAUAGUAAAAGCACUCAGACCAGGCCCAGCCCUUCCACGUAGGUCCACUGGGCUUUGGAUCUUACUUGAAACAAGCACUCCUGGCUCGGCUCUGUCAACUAAUACAGAUGCCACUGGGGAUUCAGAUUAGAAGAACAAGAGGAGAGGAAAGAAACUACCGGUUCUAUCCAGUAGGAAAGUGAGAAUAGAAUAGAAGAAUAUGGAUAGAUCUCGACAGGAAUAUGGAUAGAUCUCGACAAUAGAGGAAUAGGGAUGGAUGGAUCUCGACAGGAGCAGGAUAUACGCCGACCCUCCUUAACAGCACUUAAGUCAACCUGACUACCCCACCAGCUACUUGAAUAUGUUUAGUUCUACUUGCGGUAACUUCAUCUUGGCCACCCAUUUAUGGAAUUAGUCGUUUCUUCUGCCCUGAACCAACUCACUACUCGGUAUUCCACUUCACUCAAACAGGCUCUUUUCACUCCACUCGCCCUUACUUAUUAAGGCUGCUUGUUGAACUACCUGCAGCUUUAUCUGAAUUAUGGUAUGAAUGAGGUCUUGUCCCCUUGCCUUUGAACUAGCUUCUGCCCCCACUUCUCCUCUGGCAAAGGGAAACAAUUCGAUACUUCCCGAACAAAGAAAGGCUACUUACAACAAUUAUCUACUAUUAUAUCCACCCCACCCCAGUUACUGGCAAUUCUAUACUAUUAUAUGAUUCUUAUAAUAUGAUUCUUAUAGUAAGGAGUAAGAGUGGAAUUAUACCAAUGCUUAGUCUUUGUUAUUCUUAUUCGUUGUCUUAGUGAGUAUUUGUUAAAGUUCCCUUAUGAUUUGACCAUUGAAUUGAACUCCUAACCUGUGUGCUACCUUUCUAUCUCAUCCCUUAGUAGGUAAGUUACCGGAUUGGAUUCCAUCUUACCUGGCUAAUUCAUGCUAAUUCAUCUAAUUCUUCCGAGUGUAGUUGCUAAGGUUAGCUUGUUUCCUCUCUGUGCCUUUGUCUGCUUGUCGACUUACUUGUCGGAUCGGGUACUAUUGCUACAGGGGUUCCGCGCCAAUAAUACUUGUAUGCCAGGUAUGCCUGCUUGGCCUGUUGACUGUGUUGUAGGUUAAUAAAUCUCUGUUUAGUGUAAGUGGAAUUGAAUGAGAAAAGGCCCUGCCCUACUUAUCGGUAAAUGUUUGUUCUAAAGUGACUUAGGAUAUCCCUCCAUGGCCCAUCUACAACUACAGAGUGAAAGUCAAGAGAAGAGAUGCUGUGAGAGUUGAAUACCUUUAGUGGAAUCCUUUAUCCUCUCUAAAGAGAAGAAAGAAUAGCGAGUUAUGACCAAGUAUUGUUUAUUAGUAGAAAAUGCCCUCAAUUGUGCCAGAGAUCUGUAUAGGAGUUAAUUAGUGGCGCGGUAGAGUUAAAGCAUUUGAAACAAGGAAUGAAACCCUUUAUGAUAACAGCCUCGGACUGCUCUUGGAGACUUCACUCGAUCUGCCAUUAAGUCUAUUUAUUGUAUAUGCUUGGCCCUUUUGACUAAUGAACAAUGGCCUAGAGUUAUACUCCACUUGAACUCUACUUUAGCAGAAUAUAAGUAAUGCCCGAUGCUGUGAAAAAGAACACCUUUGAAAGUUUGAUAGGAGUCACAGAGAAAGAUGACGGAAAACUAGAGCUAUCCUGGGCUUUAAGACCCUAGCCCGUCGAGCCUCUUUCAUACCAGUGUUUUGGUUUCCACCCAUACCAUAUAGGGGACAUUCAUCCAUAAAUGAAGAGAAGGGUGCAUCAUCUAUUCUAUAUAUAAUAUACACAAUAAACCACAUGUCGACACUUGAAUUGGAAGGUCGUUAGACGCAUUCAUUCUCAAGGAUCCAUACGCGACAUCAUGAAAAGGGUAUUGGAAUACGGGAUGGAUAGGCGGUUUUUUCUUAUGCUCGGCCAGGUUACUGAGACGAAUAAAAGGUUAGACCAUUAACGGAGUGUUACUCGCCCCCUUAGCUUCCAAGCCUAACCAUAUCCUGGCUUGAACUCUGAACUAGCGUAUCUCAUUCUUUGACUCCUCCGAUUCAGUCCAUCCCUACUAGUUCGAAAACGAAACUCCUUUUGAUUGAAGUCUACCUUGCCCUUAGAACCCUGUUACUCCUGACUUUUCUUCUUUCGCUAUUACACUACGGAUGAGACUUGAACAACAGCCAACAAGGUGCUUCAAGCCUAGUGCUUUGAACUCUGUAGCUCCUGAUCUCAAAGCUGCCUUUCUUUGCUUUUAGUCUAACAUUCCUCGCUUCCAAAAUCCGAUAUCCCUGUCUCUUGUUCUCCAAACAUUGCUAACAGGGCUUUCACUGCCGCUUCUAAUAAUGCAACAACAGGGCAUAAGGCUGUGACACUACCCCCCUAAGAAUAGAACUAUCACCGAGAAGACCUUAGCUCGGAACUAAUUCUCUAAACACGGAUUCGGAUCCGCGCCUAUUAGUCUGAACUUGACUAUUAUUUGAAUUAGACUUAGCUGCCCAAGCCUUAUUAUCUGCAUCGCUGUCCACUCCUAGAGAUUAGCUUGAAACUCCCUCUCCCUUACCUGAUUCCAGCAUUCCUUACUUUGAGUCUUACCGUCCUGCCCCCUAUUCUUUGACUUACUUAUUCCAUUAUGUAUGUUCGAGUUAGGGUCUGCCUUCCUUACAUCUAAAUUGGACUUGCCCGUUUGUCACUCUGACUUUCCUUGCCUCCAAAACUCAUACUAAUGCUAACUGGACUGAAACUAAAAACUAGCUCUCUAGGGCAUUAGAGCGAUAACAAACCUAGUAAUAAACAAGACACAGGUGCCCACGACUGCACGACAGAUAGAAUAGCAGUAUAUAAAAUAGGGCUGGAAUCACUACUUAUUAAUUAUAUUGAUACUAUAAACAAGGAAUGGAGCUACUAAGUAUAAGAUCAAAGCUGUGCGCUGAGGAAUAGAAGAACCACCUAAAAGACUAUAUAUAACCACUGACAACAAUGCUGAAACGAAAAACGAGGACUCCCGUUACUUACUUCGAACCUUGCUUCCCCGCCCAUUGGUCUUUAUCCCCUGGCUGUGAGUCUGCUCUUACUUUGCUCAAACCUGAUUCGGGUGCUUUCCAAACUACUAGGCUAACUACCUGCCCCGCGCUCUCACUCUCAAUACCUUUACUUUGAGUCUGACUUGUGAGUUAACUUCUCAUCCCCAGCGCCCAGGCUUCAUUGUUCAAUUACUUAUUCCUAGUUGUGAGUUUAGUUCGAUGCCCUCUCCUGUUAAAGUCAUAGAAGCCGAACACAGGACUUGUUUCUAACUAGAACAGAAUAAUGCCUAAUUGAACUAACAUCUUGCUUAGCGGUCUUCUAACCAAUCAGACUUACUUGCACUUACAUCCGAGUCUAACUCUCCUCCUAGAGUAGGGAAAGAGCUCCUUCUUUUCAUACUUCAACUAAGACCCUGGGCUUUCACUACUUACAACCCCCACAAGGCUUUCACUUCUACUAUAAAGAAUCAAAUAGUUCACGGCAAUACAUUAUCCUACAAUAAGGACAUUAACGGCACAAAAGCAAGACCCACACAAACAAGACUUGAGCUGUAACCAAGGUAACCAACUACGGAUUUGAAAGCUGUCCUUGCUCGCUUUCAGGCACCAAGUUCCUACUAGGCAAGACCUUAACUCAUAAAUCAAAUAGGAAAGAAACUACCAAUGAAAAGAAAUCCGCUACUACAGAAAGGAAUGAAACCACUGCCAGUAAGACCCAUAUUGCUAUUAACAAGACUCACCCCCCGCACAAACAGCUGGGAACCCAACAACUUACUUUGUUUCUGUAGCCAUUGAUCCGGAUCCUAUGCUCGACUAUUAGUAGUUCUCUCUUGCCUUUCCACUCUGAAACUCAAGGUAAAGUUACGAUAUGAUAGCGCAUCUAACAAUUGAACUAUAGAAAGGGAAUCCAAACACUGGUACCGAGCCCGCCUCUCCUUUAUCGCAUCUUUGCUUCCUAGUUAAAGAGUAGCCACCUAUUUAAUACAGGCUGAACCUAAUGCUAUCAAGGCUUUAUUCCUAUAGUAGGUAUCCAAUCUAUGAAGUAAGAAAGACAACUACUAGUAGGUUUCCAAUCUAUGAAGUAAGAAAGACAACUUACUACUAUUAGAAUGGAUGGAGCUGGUGAAAACAAGGCUUUGUUACGAGGUCCAAUACUACCAACCUAUACUAGUUCUUUCCAUGCCUAUGGGACGGUGUUCCAUUUAUAGGAUUUCAUUCCUUUCUUUAAGGCUACUUCUCCUACUUCUAAUACAGGAAAUAGGAACUCACUUCUCGACAACACACCUCUUAUUCCCGAACUCCCCUCUCAAGGAUGAAACUAUAGCAACAGAGCCCAACUCAAUAGUCAGAGACUCUAUAACCAAUAACAACAAGACCUAUGCUCUAAACUAGGGCCUAAGCGCCCGGUUCUCGUUCUGUAGUUACCGAUCCCAGAUCUUGAGUUCUUUAGCGCGCCAACCCUAUUACUCGUAGGUUUAGUUUGACUCCGCCUUUACAGUAUCUUAGCCUGCGACUAUUUACCUUGAUUCUCUUACAGCUCCCUGGCAUCCUUACUUGUUAGUUAGAGUCUGGCACUAUUGUCUCGUAGUCUUAGGCUCAUAGCACCUCAAUCCCUAUGUUCCAGCUCCAGUCUUACAACUCUUUCUCUCAUUCUGAAACUACUGAGAAACUCAAUCUGACUUUUGAUUAGGGUUUUUCUUCUUACCCGCGCCAACUGCCAAGCCGAGUUUGAUUGACUCAUUCCCUCACUCCUAAUUCUGUUACUUGCCCCUUCCAUUCCCAUGUGCGAGGUGAACUCUUUAACUCCCUUCAGAAAGUCUGGCUAUCCUUCUUUCAUCCCUAUUGGUUAAGUAGCAUACCUAUUUGAAGUAUCCCUCUUAGUAUUAUUAGUAAGAAACCCUAUUCUUAGUAUUAGUUAAGUCACUUCGUUCGUAUCCAAUCCAAGUAAGGUCAGGGUACCCGGGCAUAGCAAUUGAACUCAAAUAAAUAGUAUAGACUUGUGCAGGUAGCAAAGUAGUAGUUGUUACUCAUAUCUAGUGGUUGCACGCCGUUGCUUGUCAGAUGCAAAAGAGUCAAAGUGCUCCACAAAAUGAAAUACCAAACAAAGUCAGUUAAGAAUCAAACGAGUAAUCUAGUAGUAAUAAAUAGGAAAUAGUUAACUAAUAAAUAAAUAGAAAAGCGAAGCGGGAACGGGAAGUUUUGUUUCAACUCGAGUUGGGGCAAGAAGAUAGCUUAGUUAUGGGAAAAUGGUACCGCCCCAACGGAAUUCGCAUAAAUAGAAAUGGGACUUGCUCUUAAAGUGACCUACACCUUGGGCGACUCUCUUCUAUAACGGAUGCACUUACCUUCUAUUCUUUUAUUGAUUUACUCACCUCUUCUCCUGUUUCAAGCUCCUUGAUCUCAGCCCCGUAUUAGUUGUCAUUUGUGCCUCUCAUUCUUAUGUGCGAUUGUUAGCCCAAUAAACAUAACUCACUAUGAUUCCCAAUACACACAGAACUCAUUACUCUUCUUAAAACACACAACUCGUAUUAACCCACUACCGACAAGACCUACACUCGAGCCUAGGAAUCAAACACUGACAUAACGAAGUACUAAUAAGAAUCCCAACUCAAAAGUCAGGACUCGAUCAAAGAAUGUAAGGCGGGCUAACAUAACAGAUGAAAUAAAGAUGUGAGGUCAGCAGUGGCAGUAGAGAAGUAAUAAGUAAAGACAGGCAUUGAUAGCGGGGAGUCUCAGAAUGAUAUUUCCGUUAAGAGCGUAGAAUGGUUGUUAGGAGCUCCGGACUAACCCACUCUAUCAGUAGACUAAAGUAUGCAAGGGGAGUUGAAAGCAUAGAUACAUAAUUGAAGUAAGGGAGCAGGAGAAGAAUAAGAGCUUGAUAUAUAAAGGCCGCGGCAGGCUUUAAGAUAUCGUAGUGAUAGACUUAAAACACAGAGUUAUGGACUGAAUGCGAGUAAGGAAUAUAAGAGUUAGGUGCAUCCUUACUUGUAAGCUCGAGCCCACCCCUCCUAUCUUAGCUCUAAUACUGAAAUGACUUACUUGUAUUCUUUUAGUUGUUCCUGGCAUUCUUGUCUCUCAAACUGAAGCACUGGGACCUAAAUCUUGCUUGUAGGUUGGAGUCUCCCACUUUGUUUAAGCAGUGCCUACCCCUAGAGGAGUUCCUUAUUUCCCACCUGGAGAGUCUUAUACCACUUAGUUUCAUUAUGAGUUGACUAUCCGACAAGACACUAAUAAUGUAGCGCAUCAGUAACAACCCCCUUAACAACUCUGACUUAUUAAUUGAAUUACUACUUAUGGCAUAAAGCCUUUACCCUGCUGUUUUCAUUCUUAUUUGGAAUCUCACAACCUCUGAUCUAAGGGUGCUCCCUACUAGACUCAAAUUCGUAUUAUGAUUUCUCAUACCCAGGCCCAUAAAACAAGACCAUUUUGACCCUAUCCCUUAUUUAGAGCUUCUGCGAACUAGACUAUCCUUCUGAUGUUUCUUCUCCUAACCUACUAGAGCUUAUUCCCCUUACCAACCUACAGUAAACGUAUCUACUUACUGUUUGCCUAAAGGAAACGUAUCUACGCAAAAUCGACUACUUAACUCGACAAUCCACAGGCUAUUCUCCACUACAACACUCAAUGGGAACAGGCUAUUCUCCACUGGAUCAAAUGAGUAACCAACCCAGAGUGCCUCUUAGAUGAAAGUAAGAAUGAGAACUCCAAAAAGGCUAAGGCACACCUUAUGCAUUGAAGACUUUCACUCAAAAAGAGGAAAGAAUGACGACCCGACCACGCCUACAAUAGAGAAAUUGCACUAAUUAAGUAGCAGACCCAAGCCCUCUUCUCGCUAGCCCAGCCUUGUUGUCCACUGCACUCUUACUGUUGUCCCUUCAAUACCUAUGCUGUGAUGAGAGCCUUAGACUACUCUGUUCCAUUCUUUGACUUGCUUCUUUCAGUCCAACCACUGCUAAUUGUAAAAGGACAAAGGCUAACUGAAAACUCCUUAUUUGCCAUUGGAUUUAUACCAACUCCCCACUUGUAAGGUUUGGUUGGAUGCCUUUUAUCUCAACUCUAUGCUUAGUUAUAGAGUGAUAGCGAAGAGAGGCACGUUUGUAACUAUAAUCUAAGAUAAUCUCUAAUAAGGAAUAGGCCCUCCUACGGGGGAGAAUCAUUCAAUGCUAGGGACCGGUGGGAUAAGGGUAAGUCGGAAUAAGAGAGCACUCAUCUUGGGCAUUCCAUUCUGUCCAUCAAUCCUUGUAUACUCGAUCUUGUCUUCUUUAUUUCCCUCAAAGAAUCCUCUUAUACCCUGAUAGAGAGUAUGCGUUUUGUUAUACCCUGAUGGAGAGUAUGCGUAUUGAGAAAAAGAGACUUUCAACCCUGCAAUCCCGCUCAGCCUUUACCUGCACCCUGUACUCCAGCUAAGCUAUCGGUACUGCUACCCCAAAUCCACCACAUUAUUGACUGAACCAUGGUAGUACUUAUGCUAUAGGGACCCAAAACUUCUACUACAUUCUUUCCCUUAACCCUACAAAACCCUAACAACUGUAAUGAAUAACCCGUGAUAGACUCAAAACAUUCUUCAUAAACCAGUAGGAAAAGAGGAUUAUUACAGUAAUGUACUGUACACAUUAUGUCACUUAUUAACUUGACUCUUGUAACUCACGUAAGCACAAUUCAGAACUAAUACGAAAGAAAAGAACGAAACUCCAUAGAUGAGAUUAAUAAGUUGAAGAGAUAUAUACACAACAUAUAGAAAAGCGUAAAAACACAGCUCAAAGUGGAAGUGUUGUUACUUAAUUAUAGAAUUCUUCACUACAAUUCGAUUCUCUGUUUGUUGUGAGAUCUUAAGAAACUUCUCCCAAGAUAUACAACCAUUAUGGAAACGUACAAUAGGUAUAAAGAUUACGCUAAUCCAUAUUUAUGAGAUAUGCUAGGCUACAUGUUAUGAUUUGCGACAAGAAGGAUACUGCCCAAAGACCAUAUUCAGUAACAGCCUAUUCUAUGGAGCGUAGAUCAUAUGAUUCAAUCUUUUUCUCUGUCUGGCAGUCGGUCGCUCUAGAAUCUACUUAGUGAAGCUAGCCUAUUAGCAUUGAAUGAAAAUAGAACGAACUAGAGCUUUAGCGGAAGCGUGAAAUAGAAGCAGCAAGAGAGUGACUUGACUUUCUAAGAGCAGGGAUCACCAUCUAUCUAUUAUUCUAUUUCAGAAACAAUAAGAAAGACAGACGGCCAAACUUCAUCACCAAAGGAAGGAAAGGAAGAGCCAAUUAUCAUGUGGCUACCCAACUAAAGAAAGAAGGAUUGAUAAUAACCAAAAAAGCGAGGAGAGCGGUCUACAAGAGUCAGCGUAAUUCACUCAAGUCUUUCUUGUAAGUGGAAAACCAAAGGAUGCUUGCCUACCAAAGAACGCAUGGAUAAGUGGGCGAGCAAGCUAAGCCCCACGUUUAGAAAGAAUAGAAAGAAGAGUGGGUAGUACCGGAGUAGUAGAUACCAAAAUGAUUCUUGAGCAGCGCUGGGAGAAGUCAAGGCAAACAUCAACACUUUUUCUUAAUCAAGAUGGAAUCAGAAUCUAUUGAAUAGUAAAGGUUUCCAAUGAGCACGGAUGAGGCGAAGCUGCGAUCCCUAAGGUAAGCGCCCUGAGACCAAGCAAUCAGAGUCUAUGUCUUGGUAACCCGGAUGAAGAGAUAGUGGAAUUUAGGGACCUCGACUUUACGUACCUCUGUAGUCUUAAGAGAAAGUCAUACACGAUGUCUCACCGUUGAGAAAGUCAUACACGAUGUCUCACCGUUGGAGGAUUUUGUAAAAGGAUUUAGGGCUAACGCCCGAAGCCCAUAGAGAGAGAGAGAGUCAAAAGCCUAUAGCACUGCUGGAAGACCAAGGUAUCGAUCGACAGAUCUAGACCGUCAAUAUUGGAUUAUACGGCCAAUGCUUCUAAAUGAAAAGAACAAUGAAACCAUGUUUCCUGGGUAAGCGCCCUAGCCUUGUUUCAAGGGGCUUGCUUUACGAACUUCAAACUACUAUUAUAUAUAAGAAUUAGAUAAUCGAAUUAAUAGUUCGCGCUCUCUGUCUGUGGCUUGCUUGAAACUCUCUUGCUAUUCUCCAUUGAUGAAACCUCCUCCUUGCUUUGUUGCUGGCUUGAAUAGUGUUUUUCAAAGAAGUCGCUUUCUGCUUUACACUUGGGUUGGUAGGUAGUUCUGGAAGCCAGUAGCACUGGUCUAUGGGUCUUAAAUAGAAGGGAGUUAGUAAAGCCUACAGUUCGAAUACCGCGGUUAGUCAGUACGGCAAGUAUAAAGGCAAAGAAGUCAGCUAGGCGAUUACCUUAUGUCAUAGGAAGUAGGCACCAGUUCAGGUAGUGGUUACUGUCAGACAGCUUUGAAAAGAGAACAACGGGGGAUUGCUUCAUUCUUUUUUGUAGUAGUUGGCUUAGAGAGUCGCUUUGCUUAUAGGCUUUGCUUAGAGAAUCCAUCCGGCUAUCCACUGGCCUAAUCCAUGUUCUUUUUAGGCCCAUUACGGGUUAACUCCUAAAUAAGGGAUCAUACCCACGAAUUCCUUCUAUUGGGUCUAUCGCACUGGGAAUUCGAAAUAGCGCAUAGAAGAAUUUCAAGCAGAUGUGGCAUUUCUUAUACUAUACGAUACCACCUGCGGGCGAUUCCGUAUUAGGAAUGCGGAGCCUAGAUUCAGUAAGUUGGGUAUUUGAAAGCAAGGAGCUGAAAGCCAGCGCUUCUUUCGUAAGUGCUCUUGGUGUCCGGUUGUUAGAGUUGUAGUAUACGCCCUUGGAGGAGUUACUGGUCUUACCAUUUUUCGCCGGUCUUUCUGGUGAGUUCAAAAGAGCUCUUGUCGUAUCCGCCCUUGGUGUUAUGGAAGUUAUUGGUGUUAGAGUUUUGGGUCUUCAAUUAGGUCUUUCAGAGCCUCAACGCAUCCGCUCUUCAAUCAUCCGCUGCUAAUGGUCUUGUUGUCGCAGCUUUACUAACAAUAGCUUCUUUCUUUCUGUUGGCAAUGGAAGAAACUCUGACUGCUCGAGUCGCUUGAUACGUAACUUCUUGCUGAGUGAAUCAUCUGAAUCCUAUAAUAAGAUGGCAUCAAAUGCAAGAGGGAAUGGAAUACCACUGUGAGGGAGGUUAAGGCAAGUUAAUCAUCUGAAUCGUCGGAAUACUAGCCGAAAGUCUGACGCUCUUAUGCUUCGGUUAGUGCUGGGCUAAGUCCCUUCCGUCCGUCCCUAGUCAGUAUUCGUGCUCCCAUUUCCCCUUGGACAGCGAAAGAGAGAGUGACCGCAGACAGGCGACUUUCUAUAAAGAUAAAGAAGAGAAAGGCUUACCAAACCACUUCUGCGUAGCAUUACGACCUACGGGCAAGUCGUUCUAUGUCUAUGAAAGAAAUGCUUUCGGGACAAGAAGAAAGAAAGGAAAGCUGGGACGAAUGACUGACUGACUGAGUGAAAGAAAAACGAGAAGGCAAGCAUGGAGACCAAGCACUCUAGCAAGCAUGGAGACCAAGCACUCUACUCAGCGCUUUCCCUAGGCUAUGAAAGACGCGGAACUAAACACAUUCUAAAGAAAACGGCACACACUCCUGACCACUAAACUAUCCAACAUGGGAGAUUCGCUUACACAAGGAAAGAACUCUGAACCUUGCUUAAGCGUCAUAAACUCCACUAAUAUAAAUGCUUUCCAAAUGCCCCCCAACUAGCACUUUUUACCCAGGAAAGAGAGAAGCAACUUGAAAUGCCACUCAAGACAAGAGAAGAGGCUUAGCUUGGAAAUCCAAUAAGAAAAGUGAGACCCAUACUCCCGCUCCAUCAACAAACAGGCCUCCCAAAGAGAGCGACAGGUAGGGAAAAAGAUUGGAUAUAGAGUAGAAGGCAGAAAGAAUCCAAAGUGGAAUAUGACACUCUGAUAAUCCCAAGAGAGUCAAGAUCUUAUAGCCAGAGUAUCAAAGUAUGGUCUGUAAGGGAUAAGUGCCACUCCUCAUGAAACAGUAUUAAUGGUAGAAGAAACGGAAACUUCCAUUGCGGGAUUCUAAAAGCAAAAGCACAGACCCAUAAAAGACAUAGUCUAUAUAUACGACUUAUUCAAGACCCAGCCCCACAGGAAGAACGGAAACUCGAACAACAGGCAAUUCCACAGCUGACAAUGCUAGAACUUAACGUCACUUUCUUACCCUACAACUGAAUCAUAAGUGGAAGUUGGAAGAGCAGGAGAAGAGGCUUUAUUGGAAUAUCCAUCUUAUCGAGCACCUGGCAUAGGCUUUUUCAAAUACCCACCUUCCCCCUUCUUUCAAACUCAGUUAGCGCAGAGGAAAGAAGGCAAUUCAUAAAGGUGUUCGUUCCCGCUUAAGAAGGCUUCUUUUGCAUCGCGGGGAACCGUACCUUUUGUGGAAUCUAUUUCCACUCAGAAACUGUCCAACUCAUUAAUUUGACACCUUACAACUUGACUUGUUCCGUCUCUUAACUAACUCUAUUCUAUACAAACAGCUAACAGCUUCUCUUAUGUCACUCUUAAAGCAACGGGAAGAAACAACUCGGAGUGCCUGCCUCAAUGAGAAAUUCCAUUCAAGUAAACAGAACAAGCAAAGGGUAUAGACCGUCUUAAGUAAGAGUAGGAACAGAUACAGUUAUCAAGGAAGAUUUCUUAGUUGGCGACGAAGCUAUAAGGGAAGGUUAAGGCGAAAGUCAACCUGAGAGAUAGGUUCGGGAAUCCGUCCUGUUGUCGUUCUUUGAGUUGUCUUAAAGCAGGGUUUCGCCGUCAGACCGAGUCAAGUUACCGAUCAAACCUUUGAUAUACUUCUAAGCAUACGCCGGGGUCGAGAGAAGUCGCUUUUCGUUUGGAAUUUCUUGGAUGCUUGCUUCUGGCUGGCUUGAUCACAGACUAGAUUAGGAUUUCUCACAUGCUUUAAAACAGAUUGCUUUCACUAGCCCGAUCCCUCUGAUCUUAUUUAUGUCAAGCUAAUUGAGUUAGGUAAGAUGUGAUCACAAGGAAUAACACUAUUAGGACUACUGCGACUUUGUGACAAAUACUUAGAUUUCAAGACCUUCAGACAAUCUGGCGGGGCGCCUUUAGCGCUACUAACUACUAAGCUUGGCCCCGCUUACUGCUAAACUGUUCACUUAAAGGUACAGCACUGAGGUAAAUCCUCUAGCUUUAGGAGAGACUCGCAAUUCCCACUUUCCAUUCCAUUCUGAAAUUCUUCACUGGAGAGCGCCAACAAAGACAGCUCGGACUGCUGAUUCAUAUGAUGUUGUCGACUUUCCUUCUCCUGGGACUGCUGAUUCAUAUGAUGUUGUCGACUUUCCUUCUUUCACUUGCACAGAAGCUUCAUCGGGAGUAGGAGAUCAUAACUGGGUAUCACGCAAGUUGUUCUACAAGCUCCGUUGAGUCAACCAGAGAAAGAUCUAAAGCUGGAUCUGAGGCUUGCUUUAGAAGGUGAGUAAGCAAUAGAUUCUUAAAGCUAGUUCUGGUGGGCAACAUUAUAGAUUCGUGAUUUCUCUUUCUUUUUCUUGAGAACAUUGAUCUGCUCCUAGGUGGCAUUAUCUUCUAUUCUUUAGAGUUCCUAAGUGUGAAAGCAAGGGUUCCAAGUAAAGUAUCUAAUCUGGUAGAUGCUUAAAGAAGUGGAGAGUAAAUGAGCUAAAAGCGCGUCAUUGAAUAGUUGCCCUUAAGUAAUUGGCCGCGGCAGGAGCGGAGCGGUUCAACACCGGCAGGCGGAUCCACAGAUUGCUUUCUUUUCUCACUUGCUUGACUUUAGCGCUUAUAGCCACUUUGACCGGUGUGUGAAGGAACUUCUUGCACAUGAUCUGAAAUACCACUGGAAAGUUCAUAUGAAACUCAAAGAAUAAGCUAGCGUUGCACCUCUGGUUCCACCGAACCACUAAUCAUUUAGUCCUCUGAUUCCAUCUUCCAAAUCUACAUAUAAGGCUUAGAGAAUAGUUCUUCAAGCAAAAAGAGAAAGAGCUAUUUCUUAUGCCACCUGAAGCAUUCCCGUAAUCAGUCCAGUCCAAUAAAAAGAAUAUAGUCAAAGGGAAACCAGUGCAUCCCUGUGCCCAAAGCGGGGCGUAGACAGAGAUAAGUAAAUGGGGGAUGUAGCUUGCUUGGUAGGUAGCCAAAGAAAGGUUGGUUCUGGAACUUAUCUCCCGCUUCAAUCCCUUAGAAAGUAGUUUCACCCUAUCCUUAUUGCCCUUACUAGAUUCUAGCCAGCUUCACUUAUACUUAACUUAUCCUUAUGAAGUGUGUUUCUACAUUAGCCGAGUUCCUUACUACUUUCUUUCUUGCCCUAUUGGAUCAGAUGAACCAUCAAGUUAAGAAGCAGCUUUUUCAAUACCACUGAUCUUUUUGAAAUUACAUCUUCUAAUAAGAACAGAUAAUUUGAUAGGACUUGUCGGAUACAAUACUCGAACUCAUUCUUUUCUUUAUACAGCUUCCUCCACCUAACACUUAUCCUUAUCCCGCUUCGGCUUCUUAUCAAGUGGAUUAGACUACCCUACCCUUACUUGCCAUUCAUUCUUAUCGCCAACACCAACAGAUUCCGAAAAUGAAAAUAUGGGACCCGGCCCGGACUGCCGGUGCAAUUCAUGGGAACCAAACAUCUUUGUGGGUUACCUUGCCGACCUCAACUCGCCUGGUAUACUUGUGGAAGUAUGGCCUGUGAACCUCUUAGCCUGGCUUUCUCUAUGUUUCUUGGCAUUUAUACUUCUGUCUUAGUAGUUUCUCCCCUCCUUAUGCCAUAACCCAAAACUCCGAGAGAGACACUGCCUUGCUUCCUUGACCAUCUUGCAAAGCUGGAAUUAUCGGCAAUAACUCCUCCCCGGCUUGGCACACUCAACCGCUACUCGCCGGCGACUCUAUAUCUAUAAAGAUAGAAGGAUUUCGCCUGCCACUCUACCUAGCUAACCCGAGCGGAUGAGCAUCUCUUUCUGGAAAGGAUUCCACAAGUGAUUCAACAUCUGUCGGGGGGGAAUCGACCUACUUUUUCAGAUGAUUUGUGGACGGAUGGCCAAUGGGCAAUGCCGUUACCAAUUCAACCGAUUGAGAGAGAUAGGCCAGGCCCAUGCUUUGCUUUCCUUAGUUUUGAUUUCUAUAAGCGUUUCCCUUGAAAGCGCUACAAUGGCAGGUUCUGAAAUACAUGAAAAUGGAUGAAUGUGAACGAUAUCCCAUACGGAGCAGGAAUUCCCUUUGGUUUUUUUAUGUGAUGCUUCUUAUUUAGAGUUAUUAAAAGACCAAGUUAUCCAUCCGCUUUUGAGAUUAUUUGCACUUUGGGCUUUUCUUCCUAUUGAAAAGAGUCCAGACGCAGUCCUUCACUCCCACUACUCAUCCAGAACUAUAUAAAUAAAGUGAUUCAUAGAAAUGAAAGAGCGAUUGAUUUGAUUGGACAUAUCAUAUUCUACUUGAUGGAACAUAUCAUAUUCUACUGGAUCGAUCAAGACCAGGCAGUUGAUUCAAAGCAGAGAGAAGGCGAGCCCUGAGCUAUCCUUAUAGAAAGCUGCUAAACCACUCUUCUUAGCUUCCUUUGCUGGAGUUCCUCUUCGGGCUGUUAUCUCUUGCUAUCCCUUGUUGCCCUUUGGGUGAUAUACAAAUCCCUAAAAGCUUCAAGCCAAUAAAGGAAUCUGUCCCCAAUCCUUGAGAAAAAAAGCUAGGUUCGGCUCGACCAGAGGGAUAGGAAGGGAAGCUCCUAGAAACUCAUUCCUGUCAUUUAUCCGGAUUUUAGGACAUUCUAUUGGCUCGAUCUAACUAUAAGCUAUUUAGACCCAUCCAUUCCUUCAUUCCUGAUUCCUAAGAAAUAGCAGCCUAUUCUUUCCAAAUAACCAUGGCAUGAGAUGCAUCUUCCGGUAGUCGCUAUCCUAAUUCUAAAGCAUUACAGUCCUUCUUACUUUCUACAGAUAGAGAGAAAUCCAAGCUCUUUAAGUCAGAAUCGGAUAUUGGCCUAGCUUAUUGAAGAUCGGGUUGCAGAAAGAUCCUUCUCAAUUGAUUGUGUAACUCUUUUGAACGAACUGUAAGGAAAUGUCAGUGACUUAAAAGGACUAACUAGAAUCCAUUAAUUAGGUCGGGUAUAGACUAACAGAUAAGAUAGAAGGGUAUGUAUUUAGACAAGAAAGAAGAAGUUCUCUAGCUGCCACUCCUUCUUAAACUCCUUAACUCGCGCCUAUGGCUCCUUCCCAAGGAUCCUAGCCAACUAAGCUACUAAACUCAACAACUGUAAGCUUUUAUUAGGUUAGUCAAGGUAGGAACUCUUUAGCGACGGAAUGCUAGCUCAGGCCUUUCGCUCAAAAGCUAACCCGUUCACUCCUCCUAGUAGUGUGCUUGUAAAGGAUCCCACUGCUUUAAGUAAUACCGUAGCAAUCCUUGGUAGUUUGCGCUCAAUUUGUAUUGUUCGAAGCAACGAGUGAUAACAGCUUCUUAGGUACAUUUUGAAUCAAUAGCAAAGGCAUCUGAUUCAUUAUCAUUCUUGUACUACAGCUUCGUUAUUACAUAGUAUCCUAAAAAUAAGUGGAGAUAGCCGUAGCAUAGACAUUUUCAGGGGAACCCAAAUGUUGCUUCUUUCUCUCACACUGACAGGAUUGUUUCCUUUACUCCUACUAUCAUUUAACUGUAAGUCGAGUAUCGAUGUAAUUGAGCUCGUAUUUCAAUAUCAAUAGAAUCAGAUUUUGAGCUUCACUAUAUUUGGGGGAUAUAGACUAGGAAACGACUAUUGGCUAAUGGAAGAACGGAGUCUAGCUCUAAACCAUAUGAUGAAAGAAAGCUGCAUAUCAAAUGAUUCUAAUGAUAUUCACACUCAGAAAGACCAAUAACCAAUACAAGUUUCAAGCGGAAAAGAGAUGUGGCGGUCACCGAUAGCACUCCUUUUUGAUAUCAAUCGAUUUUCUCUGUAUUUGAUUUUAUUCCACAGGGUUUCGAGGUGAAGUAUCGCCCGGCGGCCAAAAGUCCUCAAUCACUGCUGUUUAGACUUGGUAACUGUCUUGCGUCUACUGACGUAUAGGGAUGUCCAUUCCUAUUCCAUUAAGACAUUCUGAGUUUUCCUUUCCUUCCAUUAAUACACUUUCUUUUCAAUCAAAAGCGUAGGCGUUAGGGGGGGAUGGGAUCUCUGCUCAAUUAGUCCCAUUAAUCACGGCCUAUCUUAUUCCAUUAUAGAAUUCCCGAGUAGCGUACUCACUGGGAAGCUUACUUUCGUCUUGAACGAUGAAAAAGAGCUAUGUCCCUUAACCUUUGGAUUCUCUUUCUCUUCCGGCUAAGGGGACUGAAGGUAACUCGUAUGAAAAGUAGAGUGGGAGAGGCAGCGUUGAGCUCGGUACUUUUUCGGAGUCUCGGGGUUACCUCUUCUUUUUCCAUAUCAAUUGGUAAUCGACUUAUAGAGCUGGCUUUUUUCUAUGAAUAAAAGUCAUCGAAAUCUUUAGUAAUGAUCACAUUGGGCGCUAUAAGCCAAGCCGCCUAUAACACAGGUUCGCAGCCCUCGGAGUGGAAGCAUAAACUCUCGAAUCAGAAUAGUAUGGGGCGGAUUCCAACCUUCCUCUCGGGUGAGUAGAACCACAAAUGGAUUGCCGGCCUUUCUUUACCUAACGAGUGCUCACACUCUUACAAAUCUUGGAAAAGGGCCAAGCAACUACUGUUGCGACCAAGCGACGGGACAAGCACCUACGACAAAUCCCCGAUCCGGACGAAAGGUAAUAAUGACUUCCUGAUUCCCCAAAGCCAACCUCUUAUCCUUAAGCCAGGGCAAGGUAAGAAAGAAGAGAAUCAAGUCACUUCAAUCCUAUGUACUUUGAAGCUCACAGAACUCCUAUAAAGUCACUCGCUAACACACCUGCUCAAGUAAGCUAAUGCACCAGCACUCCGAAGAAUUGAAGUGAACAAGAAAGUCUAUGACAGAUUAACAACACAGAGCACUUAAGUUCAAAUCAUAUCAUAGCACCCCUAACUAACUCGCUACAACCUUUCCAGUAUAGAAAGCUUUAGCCGCCCGCUGUAGCUCAAACCGAGUACGGUAGCUCCAAGUGGUAGAGUCAGGUUUCAAGUUUGUUUGCAGUAGUUCAUAAUAAGUGUUGCUAGAAGCGUCGGCUCUAUCAGGACAGGAAAGGUGUGUGUGUGAUUAUAGCUUGAGUCAGACCACAGGUAAUAAAAGAUGUAUUGGUGCUUUACUUAUCUCCUAUCUAUAAGUAUCGGUGUUUACUUAUCUCCUAUCUAUAAGUAUCGGUGCUUGACUUGCAACUUCGUAUCCUAAAGCAUUAACCACAACAGUAAAGAGCAGUAGGGCGAGUUAGACUAGACUUAUUAUACUGUGUGCACUCCAUUCUAUUCUUUAGUUCAGUCAUAUAUAAUGUAGUUAUUCUACGAGUAUCCUUAGAGUCAGCAGUUCGUUUAGUUUAGGUUACAAAUAUGAUUCCAUAAAGGGUGCACUCAAUUCCACAAGGGUAGAUAAAUGACCUAUUGUACUAAGUGAAGCGAAAGAAGGAAGUGUUGUAAGCUGUUUUGUUACUUCUUUCUAUCAUGUGUCUACUAUACCUUUCUACUGAUAUGUCUACUUAACCUUGAGACUUAUUAACUUAACCGCGGAUUCUAUCUAGAAUGACACUUGAACAGCCCUGAGAGAAGGUGAGAAAUACGAAUUAAGAGCGGAGCAGCCUUGAAGCCUUAUUAAGGUUCGGCCAACCGUUCUCUCGCUUCUGAUUCAAUUGCAAACAAGUCCUUCGUGGCAAAGAGCCUUUUAGGUUCACACCGCUUGUUAGACUUUCCCAUCCUAUUACCAAUAAGUAUUAGACUAGAAAAUCCGAUACCCAUAAGUAGAAUAUAAGAGUUCGGUGCUUGUGUUUGGCAUAUCUUGCAGGCUUUAUUGACUUCGCCUUUCCUGUACCUGUACUUAAGCAAGAGUGAAGAAAUGAAUGAUGCAAUAAAUGGUGUAACUAUGUUAUUCUAUAACCAUAAGUAACGUAGAAACAAGCUCGUAUAGUUAAAGUCAUGUUCCUCUAUUCUAUCAUUUUUGCACUAGAUGAUUUUCUUACCAGAAAUGAGAAAUAACUGGGGCCUGGCGUUAGCUUACUCUUCGGGGGAACAGAACAAGCAACCCGGCUGGCUGAACUCCUAACGCGCUUAGCUUAAUAUACUAAGUUUGUUGCGCUUACGUGAGUGGGUGCCUCUCCUCGUUCUUAUUGUGGUUGAGUUCGGUUACUUUACCUUCAUUAUAGAAGAUUUGCACUACUAUUCCAUUCUUUAAGAGACUCUAUUAUUGUGUGGACACAUCAGAUGGAAACAAAAGGAGAGACAUGCGUAACCUCUAAUUAAGCUGCUCUCAUCAGCACCUUCCCCUCAAGACCUACUUUACCAAGAGAACACCUGCUUUUCGAAUUGCCUAACGGCGUAUACUCUAUUCUGCCUACAGACAAGUAAGUCCUAUACAAAGCUUCCAUCAUCCCGGUGAUGAAUCCAAUAUUCAAUCAAAGCGGAUUUCCCUUAGGGGGCUCCCUUCCUUUCUGCCUAUAAGAUGGUUGGAUUCUCUUAUAGUUCGAAAUACGUCUAUAAAGAAGGCUUCUCUUUUUAUUACGGCUAGCACGUUAAGGAUUUAGGGCGAGAUGUUGCUUCGCAGACCGCUCAGGGAGAUGAUGUUAAAGAGGGUUAAGAGGUGUGAGAACGCAGAUCCGCCGGGAGGAUAUGUCAGAGCGGACCCACAGAGGACGAGGCCGAUGUUGUACCUGAUGGGGCUGUUGUUGCUUUGGAAAAAGGCGUUGGUGAGCCACUUUAGUUGUUGAAGAGAAGAAGGCAGAUUCAAGUAAUCCUGGGGAGGUUCCAGUGAAGAACGGCGAAGGCACGCAGGACGCCGACUUCAAGGCUAUUGAAUGACGCGAUGUUGUAAUAGUAUGGCUCUUUCCAGGGCAGGGGGUUUACCGAGGCGAGGCCUUUUGAUGAUGCUGGGUCUUUCUCUCUAUCCCUAUAGUGGCUCAUUGCGAUUGAUGACAUUUUGCUCGGAGUCGAGCUGCUCUUUCAAAAGCUUUUUCGAUGGGCACUCUUAUACCAUUGGGUUAGCUUUCCUUAGCCUGGAAUGACUAAACGACAGUGAGCAAUGCUUUACUAUUUCUACAUAAAUGGAGAAGCUACUUACUAUUCAAUCCGUUUUCCUUUACCUGAGCCUUGACUAGAUAAGUCCGUUUACCCAUCUCAUUGUCUUGUUGUUGAUCGUUGUCCUAUUUGGUUAACCAUUUUAGCGGAAUCAGAGGCUGGCUGGAACCCCAUUAUCGAAGGAAGAUGCUUCUCCGCACCGAGCGGGGCUCCUUGUCCCAGGGCAUAUGGCAGGAUGUCUAGUCUCUUCAUUCCGGUAACACUUCCACUUUACCAAACCUCACAAGCCAAUAAGAUUGGAACUCUUGGAGCAACUUGGCUGGCAAACGGAUAUUUCUCUUGCUGCAGUUGAUCCUAGGGCCUCAAGAACUGGAAUUCCUACAUAUUAAUUAUAUUGCUAGAAGAUAGGGGCUUUUGCGGGUGCUACAGAUACUACUUUCGAAGCUAUCUCUCCGUUCCACUUCGUUGCACUAGUUCUUCUGGCCUACCAACUCUAUAACUCAUAGAAUACCUUUCUUUCCGUCUAACUCUAUUAUAGAGCCGUUAGAACUAAGUGAUACUAGGACCGAGCCGUUAGAACUAGGUGAUACUAGGACCCGCGGGCAUACUAACCUAGACCUAGGAAGUCGAGGCAUUAAGAGCUCUACAAUGGAAGUGGUGCCUAAAAGCCCAAGCAAGUCCCUUACUGCAUUCCGUAUAACAAGGGGGAAGGUGCUAUAGUUCAAGGUAUUAUUCGCUUUCUCGUACGAUAGGAACCCCGUCGCUUGGGCAUUAUGGAGUUUCGAAGCUAGCCGUCGCUUGGGCAUUAUGGAGUUUCGAAGCUAGGAUGUCUCAUUGUCCUAAUUCAUAGCGUAAGUGAAGUUCCCCUUUCGGUCGAGCUCUUUUAUAACCGCCCUCAAAAGCACCUGGAAGAGCCAACUACACUAUAAAGAGGAACCUGCGAACUACGUCUUAGGAGCGAUAUGGAAUUGUAUGCUCGCCUUUUGACUACAAUUAUAUAAACUUGAACCGGGGGGCAGCUAUAAAGCCUAUUUAUUUGCUUGCCGGGUUUAUGAAUACUAGUAGGGGAACUAGCCAUGACGGAGCUUAAACAAGAGGUUGGACUAAAGCAAGCGGAACACAAGGAAAGGACUGCGAAGAGCAACUAGUAUUAGCAAUAUCAAUCCCAAGGGAGCUGGGUCUAUUCGGGCAACAGGCGCUCUGUUUAGUUCAUUCUGCUUUCUUUAAUGAAGCCAAUGGAGUUUGUUUUCGUUUCGUAAAGUUCUUGCUUUCCAUAUUAUUUGCGUGAAAGAAAGCUCACUUGUUUGUAUCACCAUUCUUCUCUCAAUAGAAGAGGGGCUCCCGUUCACCAUUACAAUAAAUUCCAUUGAAUGAACUGUCAUUUUAGGCGAGAUUAGAAACCUUCCUUGCCGCCCCUAACUCUAAAGAAGCGCACACCAACGGAGUUAGAAAAGAGGAGAGUCAGAUCAAAUGAGAUUGGGCUAGAUUCUAUUAAUUCAAAUAGGAUGGGACUGGAUCCAGUAUGAGUUAGAGAUCGGGGCAUGUAUAGAAGCACUGAUAUCAGGGAAUGGAAUCAUCUCUGCUGGGCCUUCGUCCUUCCUUUUCAUUCUUUUGUCUUUACGGGUGGGUUUCAUGUCCGUCUUAGGAAGUGAUCUCUCUUUGCGCCAUUAUUCGAUGAUGUAGUUGCAAUUGGUCUAAGCGAGUGAAAAUCUAUUAGGAGUCCAAGCCCGGCUCAUUUAGGGAUUCCAAUAGAGUCCCCAGUUUGAUCAGUAUUUGUUAGUGACGAAGCGGGGCCAAGCAACUGGGCAAGGGAAGAAAGAGUGGAACUGCUACAUUAUAAGAGUCAAAAGAGGAGAACCAUGUGCUCUCCACACAAAAGGAAGAAUGAAACGACUUUCCCUGAGGCCAAACACAGGUUAACUCUAGACUAGUAAACAAUAUAAUCAUAAUUUGUCUACAGGGGAUGGACAGAAGAAUUGAUAGGUCGGCAAGAGAAGCAGUUAUAGCAGGGCCAGAUCGUACAGUUGUUGCUGUAGCUAAACCCUCUGCCUUUAGUUAGUAUAGUCAAGUAAUUUGUAUGGGGUUCGGAUGCCUCUAAAUCUUAUCUAUCUUAUUAAAACAAGGGAAGAGAAAGGGUGCCUCUAUACAAUACUACUGAAUCUGUUUCAUCCCGAGUUCCAGUGAGAAAGUCAGCAUAAGAAUGAGAAUGUACUGUUUGUUAUUGUUGAAUCCCGAGCUGAAGAAGUGGAAUCUGGCUUUGUUGGCGCAGCUGCAAGACGUUACGCGUAAGGAGAGGGUGUUUGUUGUUGCUUUGACUGUUUGACCAGUCUUGGGAUAAGAAGCAUAAGAUGGAAAGUAGAGUUAGGGUGUUUCAGAGGGCUGCUUUCUAGAUGCCUUUGAUGCGAAGUGUACCGAAACAGACUCAUUAGCCCGAGGUAUAAUAGAUAUGGGUAGGUAUAAUAGAUAUGCGGAACUCACCUACCCUUCCGCUCGCUAACGCCUUGAAUACUGUACUUGUUAACAACCAUUACGAGUAUCUUUAUUGAGUUUAUUUGUAGUCUUGCGUUUGUAGUAGUAGCUUGGUUAGUCGUUACUUGCCGCCUUGCCUAGUUGUUUGUUUGCUCUUAACCAAAGAAGAGGGUCACCCUUCGCGCAUUCCAUUCUGACUUCAGACCUUAUAUGAUUAAAGCUUCAAGUAAGCUGGUAGAGCAGAGCCAGUACCAUCUUCUUCCCUUUGAUUUGUCAGUUCCGACCUUUACCUUGAAGUGAGGAAUGGAAUUGAACCUAUGGAGCACCAGGAGCGGUUCAACGCCUGGGUCAAGCCAUUUUCCUCAGGAACUUUCAGAAACCUCCACUCUAGUAAAUACUCAAGUAAAGGCCGUGGGGCACGAAGACGACGAAGAGAGAAAAAGCAUACAUAUAAGGCAAGCAAGUCGCAGAUAAGAGAAGACAAGAAAGAUCAGAAGGAGCCAUGUUUUCCGGAAGAAUUGGAAGUGCACAGAGGAUUCAUCUUUCAACAGCAUUUAAGGAUGUGCACAGAGGAUUCAUCUUUCAACAGCAUUUCAGAAAUUCAGUAUUCGUUCAUUCAACGGCAUUAGCGGUCUCUUUCGGGAGCAGAGAAAAGGAAGGAUAGGCUGCUGAUAAGGUGAGACCAAUAGUCUCUUAUCUUAGAUGGCACAUAAACUGGGAACUAUCAAUUAAGGGUGAGAUCUUAUCGGGUCGGGUAAAUGGACUGAUAUAGUGAAGAAUCAAAGUAGCAACUUGGCGCCAAAAAGAGAGCGAAAGUGCAUCCAACCACUUAUAAGAAAUGGCAGAGUUCACCCCCUCCACCACUACUUAGGUUAUAAAUGAAGCUGAUCCCCACAGGUUUACUGUUUGGUAGGAUAUUUGAUUGAAGAUCCACUCUGCUGUCAACUCUAUUCUACAAAAAUAUGGGCAAAUGUGGACUCCUUGGGUUUUUCUUCUUUCGAUUCUGCAGCAAUCAAGCUCGGCGUCCGAAGGAUCUUGGCUGCUGGUAGACCUCUGAUUCUCCUGCUCAGUCAUCCUAAGCUAGUGCUCACCAAGGAAUAUCAAAGGAAAAGUCCGUCCUAUGGUCAAGAUCCAAAAUCUCCCUGUGGAAUUAUGGUCCGCUAAUGGCUGAAGCCAUGUAGCUAGUGAAGUGGGAAAGCUCUCCAUGCUUAUGUGCCUACAUCAAAUAUGAAUAUGAAAAGGAUUAGCUAUGCGCUUAAUAUGUUUGAAGUGGAUGCCUCCCAUUGGUUUUGAGGACCUUUUGCUUGUAAAUAUAAGAUAAUUCCUUUGUUACUAUGCUAGUAUAAUAUAAAGAAGACUAUGCUAGUAUAAUAUAAAGAAGAUAAUUCCUUUGUUACUAUGAUAAUCUCAAUGGAGACCUAAGCAUUGCCCUACUAUGCUAAGUUGGCACUCCCAGGUUGCCCUCGAGCUGAAGCAUCUGAAGCUAAUCAUUCAGUGGGUAAGACCUCUGCCCAAGUUGAACCAGUAACCACCAUUCCUGCAACCAGUCCUUCCAUCAAGGCUAAGGUGAAAGAUACGAAUCCAUCCACUAGUAAAGGAAAGGCGUCGAAGCAUACCACGGGAUUCAAGCAUGUAGUAUAAGAGAAGACCCUCUCUUCUAUGAAACGGUAAGCUAGUACCAUCAAUGCUCCUGGUAAAGAUUGGAGUCUCCAAAUGGAUUUCGCAGCCUGAACUCAGAUAUAUAGGAUAAAGGCAAGCAAUACAAGCAUGAGAAUGAUCAAUUGGAAGCAUAAGCCCACUUUGGUGCAAACACCUAUUGGCAGGCCCACCCCAUGGUUAGAUUCAUACUGAUGCUUUCAUUUUGAACCAGCAAGGGAUUGGUUUUUUGGUUCUCAUUCUAUUUCCAUUCAGGGACUAUUAUGUCAGCUGCCUCAAGGUUUUGAAUCGAUAGCAAUUCCUCAUAAAUAUAAUAAGCUUUGACAGUGAGAUAUGCGGUGCAGCUAGCUGGGGAGAUUGGUCUUUCAAAGGUCAUCUUGGAGACAGACUACUUUUGGACUGUAACUGCUAUUAUAUACGAUGCUCAGGGCCAAGCGUAUACUGCUAGCGGACGCAAGCGGAGUGGGACCGGACCUUCUCCGAUAGUUUCUUUCAUCAUAAUAUGUGAAAGCUUGCACGAUUGAAUACAAAGUGGAACAUACUGAACUAACAGCUUUCCUUAUAACCCAUAUAGUUAGUCGUGUGGGUGUUGAAAUUUGGACUAACCUUAGCUGUGAGUUUGCGAUACUUUUUUCCUCAUCGCUAGCCUGUUUCCAAGAGGGACAAAAUAGUGGUUGUACUUUUUCCAUUCCGUUCUUUGGUUCUUCCAUUAGUGUGUGCCAGCAAAUCAUAUAAGAAAGAAGAUAUAGUGGUGCAUUCCCCAGAAUAUAAGAAAGAAGAUAUAGUGGUGCAUUCCCCAGAGGGGGCCCAGUGAAGGUACCCAAGCUUUUCACACGGUAACUCCAAUGUCUGCCUUGAAACCAAACAGUUCCGCUAAGGUAAUGUCCCUUAUCGCUACUAUCGCUACGCCCCUUGCCUGACUUGAACUUGCCAGUUUUCUGACAACCCUAUCUUUCUCUGUUGCCCCAAUCGGCUCGGUCUGACGAGCUCUCGUAAUAGAUCGCUCCUAUGUCCAUUCCGUUUUGGCUAGCGAAGUAUGGGCUUCUAGUUCAGUUGCUUGGUUUCCGGUUGAGGGUGCUCUGGCUAAGAUGACCAUCUUGCUUCUUCUGUUGGAAAGAACGAACGAUGAAUAUGUCCAAACGAGUGUUUGUUCCAGAGCCGAAGAUUAGUACGACACGAUUGAAUCUUUUGACUUACUCGAGAAAGAAAGAACAUUCACCGAAUCAGAAGGGCUUUAUUAUUGUCUUCCUGUUUUUGGAUGCUCAAUCGGGGGCCAGAGGUCAAAGUAAUAGGAUUCGAUCCAGUGGCCAAGAGAAGAGAAGAGGGCGAACCUAGCAUCAGAAUUCGUUCUAGGAAAGGGGAAUUCUAAGAAGCAGUGGCUACUAGCAGAAGAAGGAUGCAAGCAGGAAGGCCUUUGGACAAGAUAUUCUUUCACUUGGACAGGAGAUGCAGCGCUUAGCGUCGGAAAGACCCCUAUACAUGGGUUUGCUAUCAAACUAGGAGAAGAACUUAACUAAACGGAUCAAUUCCUUUUACACUCAGCACCUAUAACAUAACUAUACCACACUUAAGGCUUAUUUCGAGGAAGUUCAACACGGUUGAGGGACACUACUACUAUUCAAAUGAAAGCUCGGAACGGGAAAGUCGCUCGCGUCAGGUAAAGUUGUUUCAUUUGAUUACCUUGGGGCUAAUAANNNNNNNNNNNNNNNNNNNNNNNNNNNNNNNNNNNNNNNNNNNNNNNNNNNNNNNNNNNNNNNNNNNNNNNNNNNNNNNNNNNNNNNNNNNNNNNNNNNNNNNNNNNNNNNNNNNNNNNNNNNNNNNNNNNNNNNNNNNNNNNNNNNNNNNNNNNNNNNNNNNNNNNNNNNNNNNNNNNNNNNNNNNNNNNNNNNNNNNNNNNNNNNNNNNNNNNNNNNNNNNNNNNNNNNNNNNNNNNNNNNNNNNNNNNNNNNNNNNNNNNNNNNNNNNNNNNNNNNNNNNNNNNNNNNNNNNNNNNNNNNNNNNNNNNNNNNNNNNNNNNNNNNNNNNNNNNNNNNNNNNNNNNNNNNNNNNNNNNNNNNNNNNNNNNNNNNNNNNNNNNNNNNNNNNNNNNNNNNNNNNNNNNNNNNNNNNNNNNNNNNNNNNNNNNNNNNNNNNNNNNNNNNNNUUUGUAAAGUAGAAAGUGUAGUUGAUAGAUGGAGGGGCAUAGAAUUGGGUAACUAAAGAGAUAGGAGUAGUUGGUAACCACAUAGAUAGGAGUAGUUGGUAACCACAUAGAUAGGUAGCUUUCCGAGUUUCCCUUAGCCUGAUUGCCUUUAGCCCAAGUUGUCUUAUAGAGAAAAGCAGAGAAAAUCCAUUCCAUCUUUAGAGUAGUUGUCGUGCAGUGCAGAUGAAAUAGUUCUUUUCUUGUGCAGGCAGGAUGAAAUGAAACAAGGCGUUCUGUAACAGUUCAGUCAAAUGUUGCAAUGCGGGAGAUAGAAACUGCUUGAUCCAAUUCCUCGGGACUCGGCGCUAGAGAUAGAUUCAAUGAUGACUUUCGAGGUUAGGAGUAUUGAGAAGAAACAGUAUCUGGGAUCAGGAGUAGGAAAUAGAUAAGUUGUUGUUCGAGCAAAGGAGACAAGAGAAGAAUCCGUUAGAGUUUUGUCUCCGAGAUAAUAUGCUUGAGAAAGUCAGUAAGCAGUACCAAAGGAAGCAGCAAGUGGAAAGUCGAAUUCCGUUAUUGGUGUUAGUGCUUCUGCUUCAGUUAUUGCCUCUAAGUAAGGAGAGGAGUGAGUUCAGUCUGGGAAUUAUCCACUUUUCACUCCAAAUAGGCCCUAAACCUUUACUUUGGCUCGUAGCAGACUUCAAUACCCUUUAUGUCGUCAGUCAAAUUCCAUUGGGUAGCACCGCUAGCUUACUUGAUGAACAGUGGGUGCCUUAGAAAGGGGGAGUCAAUUCCAUAAAUGAGUUUCGAAACCAAUGCAAGUGUUGUUUACCUUAGUUAUAGUUCUUUGAGUAAGGAAGUUGGUUCCUAAUAUUCUAUUGGUGGAAAGAGAGAUGAUUUGAAACAAGUCGUUACGCUAACACUGUCUGUUUAGGACUCUGAAUAAGCCUUUGUUGAAUGAAGGGGCAUAGUCAGAAGCCAAGGCAUCUAAUUUCUGAAUAAUUUCAUAUCUAGAGUGAAGGGUUGAAUAAUUUCAUAUAUCCUAGAGUAUAGGGUUCGGAUGUCGAUAUUCUUUGAUUCUAUUUAUUCUGUGGGUGAGUCAAUCCUCCAUUGAAGGGUUGCAUUCGUUUCGGAGUUGAAAGGGGUGAGUCAUAUAUAUCAUACUGUGUGUGCUAUGGUUAGUUCAGAUAUACCAUACUGUGUGUACUAUCCAGAUUCCAUUCAACAAGCGCAAGUGCGCAAGAACAAAUAAGAUCAGGUACGUACUGUUAAGGGUCUAGUCUAUGUUAGCAAGAACAAAUAAGAUCGGGUACUGUCAAGGGGGUCUAUGUUAGUAAUGCGGUAGGGCUGCUCUCCAAACUUAGAGAAUGGGCCUAAUUGUACCGGUGUAGCUCGCUGUAGCUCAAACAAAGUAGUUUCAUUUCCUUAGAGUUCCAUUUCUUUCUGACCGCUCGCUCUGUCGGCCAUGUUUCACAUAGGUGCUUUAAGAAUCGAAUAUCCGUUGGAUUUCCGCCUCUGGUUUGUACCGUUGCUUGUUCCCCGCACUCAACAAACAAAACACAGAAGAAAGACUAAGUGCUAAACUAACAGAGUUACUAAGAGCUAACGUGAGCUUAUUAUAGUUUCCUUAAGUAAGUUUACGACAGUUUAUCCACUACAAGGUCAAGCACGAAAAGGGGAAAGGAAUAGAAGAUAGGCGCUAAAGUCAUAAGUCAGUUUAGGAGUUAGAUACUAGAUUAAUUAUACCUUUUUCAUUACACCUUAAUCCAUUUAGGAGUUAGGUACUAUAUUCAUCAUACUUUAGAAUCCAUAUAUAUUUCUAGGACAGAGGCAUAGGCAAUCGGUAGUGUAGUAACUGCUUUAAGGUUAUGAGGCGCAGGGUCAAUGGACAACGGUGAAGAUUGGGACUCCUAAUAGCUUGCUUGGAACUCCCCCUCUGAAGAGCAAUCGGCACGUUUCGUUUCGCUUUUCUGGAACUUUACUACUCUGUGGGCUCCGGCUUUCUAGUUCUCGUUUCAAUGUCCCUCUUUCUCACAGCUUUCUUUUUCUCCAGCGUCAUCAUCUUAUUUAUUCCGUACCCUAGAAGUAAGCAUCUUAUUCCGUACCCUAGAAGUAAGCAUCUUAUUCCGUACCCUAGAAGUAUAAUAAUCAUCUUAUUUAUUCCGUACCCUAGAAGUAAGCAUCUGACUCUUUCCGUAUCCUAGAAGUAUAGCUCAAAAUCCCCCUUCCUCUUUUCUAGUAAGACUACCUUUUUCGAGUCAUACAUAAAUAACGGACUAUAAAGAGAAAGUCUAGCCUUUUUUAGCUGCCCUCACUCUAACAAGUGAGUAAGUGACUGGUCGUUUGUUUAGGGGUUAAGUUACUGCUCUGCUUCGCUGGGUAUGAAGUCCUUGCUUUUCCUCAUAUUGUAUUAGUGAGUUACACAAAGCAGCAAGUCUCUACCUUGGCCUUGGAAAUGGUAUGAAUUUAGAGCGCUCCACCUUUCCUGGGCCGCCGGUCCAAGAAUUCUCAUGUUAUAGGGUUGGGUAUAAUCCGUAAAAUGAGUCAAGCUAGUGGUACGCCCUUUAUGGUUUGCGAUGAGACCUUACUGGCUACUCCACUUUACUUGAGACCUUCCUUACUUUACUUGAGACCUUCCUUACUUGAGAUUAGACUUGAGACGAGCCUAUAUUGUAGGGCUACUGCUUGAGAUUAGACUUGAUACAAGCCUAUAUUGUAGGGCUACUGCUUUACCUUCGAGCAGAUUAGAUGAAAUGAAAGGUCCAAGCUACGACUAAUGAAUAAAUAUGUUCGAAAGCAAAGAGAAAGGAAUCUCCCAAUUCCACUAAGAAACUUGCCAACUACGGCUUCAACUCACAACUCGUAAGCCAAUCCUUCAUUUCAACAAAGAAACUUGCCUUAGAAUACAUUUCUUCCUAUAAUCAGUAGGGCCUAAACUCUCAUAUCUUAUGGUACACGACUCGACUUCUGGUACACGACUAGACUUUACUUAUUCUUUACCCGCUGCUAAUGGUUUAGAAAGUGCCCUUCAUGAGGCCCUUAUUGUAAGUUGCAGAGUCCUGUGUUCGCCAAGCAACUAGGCGCCCUUUUUUCCAAUAGAAAUAGAAUGGAAUAAUGGUAAGCCCUUUGUCUUUUCUUCUUCGCUGGGGGGUUGGGUUCUAGAGAAACUAUAUACAUCUCUUCCUUAACGGUGGGGAUAACAUAGAUUGAUUGAUUGAUAUUCUCCUCGAGAUUGAUUUUCCUUUUCUAAACCCUUCCCAUUAGGCUGUUCACAGCCCUUUCUUUCUUUGUUGCAUGCUGUCAAUCUUUAUUAAUCCGACACUACUUUGACCUUCCCAUUAGUAAGCCCCUUUGUUGCAUGCUGUCAAUCUUGCCAUAAAUACAUAUGUUUCCUAUCAAGGACUCAUUAAUCAGCUGAAAAGUCGCAAGAAGUAGGCAAUCCGCUUUGCUAAGUAAAGUAAGUUAUAUCCGGGGGGUCCACUAGUAUAGUUUUGGAAAGCAGGUUUAGGAAAGGCAGUUCACGGACCCCUUCCAAGUGUGUUAUGCCAUAGAUUCUCCUUUGAGUGGUUUUCGCUUCUAUUUCCGUUGAGAACUUAUCCUUCUUUUAGUAAAAACAGAUAUCUGCGUCACUUAUGCCCCAGUUGCAUUUCCGUAUUGAAAGCAGGGGCGGCAGGUAGGUGGGUGUCUAAUUCCAAGACAAGCGCAUAAGGCGAUAAUCUAUCUAUCUUUCCCUAGGGCUAACAAAACCAUAAGGAUUGAUUCUCUUUAUUUUCAUGGGCUUUCCUACCCUUUCUGGAGGACAGCUAUCAUAUCAUAGGCUUUUUUCGCCCAUGCUUUCUUUCCCUCUUUUUGCUAUCCGCUCUGCUCAACUGUUUACGAUAAUUAGUUAUGAGGCAAGAUAGCUAGCAAGUG